RNAcentral lists this ribosomal RNA (253 nucleotides) under uncultured bacterium. RNAcentral describes it as "partial 16S ribosomal RNA". It matches the Rfam family "Bacterial small subunit ribosomal RNA", at positions 524 to 776 of the family's 1533-position model. The record is from RNAcentral.
UACGUAGGGUGCAAGCGUUGUCCGGAAUUACUGGGCGUAAAGCGCGUGUAGGCGGCUCGGCAAGUCGGGUGUGAAAGCCCUGGGCUUAACCUAGGAAGUGCACUCGAAACUGCCAAGCUUGAGUUCUGGAGGGGAAGGCGGAAUUCUCGGUGUAGAGGUGAAAUUCGUAGAUAUCGAGAGGAACACCGGUGGCGAAGGCGGCCUUCUGGACAGCAACUGACGCUGAGACGCGAAAGCGUGGGGAGCAAACAGG